ACCCGCUGAACUUAAGCAUACCAAUAAGCGGAGGAAAAGAAACCAACAGGGAUUGCCUUAGUAACGGCGAGUGAAGCGGCAACAGCUCAAAUUUGAAAUCUGGCCUCUUUGGGGUCCGAGUUGUAAUUUGCAGAGGGCGCUUUGGCGUUGGCAGCGGUCCAAGUUCCUUGGAACAGGACGUCACAGAGGGUGAGAAUCCCGUACGUGGUCGCUAGCCUUCGCCGUGUAAAGCCCCUUCGACGAGUCGAGUUGUUUGGGAAUGCAGCUCUAAAUGGGAGGUAAAUUUCUUCUAAAGCUAAAUACUGGCCAGAGACCGAUAGCGCACAAGUAGAGUGAUCGAAAGAUGAAAAGCACUUUGGAAAGAGAGUCAAACAGCACGUGAAAUUGUUGAAAGGGAAGCGCUUGCAGCCAGACUUGCCUGUAGUUGCUCAUCCGGGCUUUUGCCCGGUGCACUCUUCUGCGGGCAGGCCAGCAUCAGUUUGGGCGGUUGGAUAAAGGUCUCUGUCAUGUACCUCUCUUCGGGGAGGCCUUAUAGGGGAGACGACAUGCAACCAGCCCAGACUGAGGUCCGCGCAUUUGCUAGGAUGCUGGCGUAAUGGCUGU
Molecule: ribosomal RNA, 603 nt
Filed under: uncultured fungus
Lineage: Eukaryota; Fungi
Description: eukaryotic LSU rRNA
Rfam family: Eukaryotic large subunit ribosomal RNA
Source: RNAcentral